CGCGCGUUCCCAUUUUGUUGGUUUCUGAGAUCGCCGUAAUGAUUAAUAGGGAUAGUUGGGGGCAUUUGUAUUCCGACGUCAGAGGUGAAAUUCUUGGAUUGCCGGAAGACAAACUACUGCGAAAGCAUUUGCCAAGGAUGUUUUCAUUGAUCAAGAACGAAGGAAGGGGGAUCGAAAACGAUUAGAUACCGUUGUAGUCUCUUCUGUAAACUAUGCCAAUUGGGGAUCGGUACAGGAUUUUUAAUGACUGUAUCGGCACCCGAAGAGAAAUCUUUAAAUGAGGUUCGGGGGGGAGUAUGGUCGCAAGGCUGAAACUUAMAGGAMUUGACGGAAGGGCACCACCAGGUGUGGAGCCUGCGGCUUAAUUUGACUCAACACGGGGAAACUCACCAGGUCCAGACACAAUAAGGAUUGACAGAUUGAUAGCUCUUUCUUGAUCUUGUGGUUGGUGGUGCAUGGCCGUUCUUAGUUGGUGGAGUGAUUUGUCUGGUUAAUUCCGAUAACGAACGAGACCUUAACCUGCUAAAUAGACCAGCCGGCUUUGGCUAGCUGCUGUCUUCUUAGAGGGACUAUCAGCGUUUAGCUGAUGGAAGUUUGAGGCAAUAACAGGUCUGUGAUGCCCUUAGAUGUUCUGGGCCGCACGCGCGCUACACUGACAGAGCCAGCGAGUCUACCACCUUUGCCGGAAGGCAUGGGUAAUCUUGUGAAACUCUGUCGUGA
This 720-nucleotide ribosomal RNA is filed under the name uncultured fungus. RNAcentral's name for it is "SSU rRNA". It matches the Rfam family "Eukaryotic small subunit ribosomal RNA", at positions 838 to 1590 of the family's 1831-position model. Lineage: Eukaryota; Fungi. The record is from RNAcentral.